GCCUGAGUAGCUCAUUUAACAGAGCAUCAGACUUCUAAUCCGAAGGUUGAGGGUUCAAGUCCCUGCUCAGGCG
RNAcentral lists this transfer RNA (73 nucleotides) under Loxodonta africana (African savanna elephant). It matches the Rfam family "tRNA". Rfam says of the family: Transfer RNA (tRNA) molecules are approximately 80 nucleotides in length. Their secondary structure includes four short double-helical elements and three loops (D, anti-codon, and T loops). Further hydrogen bonds mediate the characteristic L-shaped molecular structure. tRNAs have two regions of fundamental functional importance: the anti-codon, which is responsible for specific mRNA codon recognition, and the 3' end, to which the tRNAs corresponding amino acid is attached (by aminoacyl-tRNA synthetases). tRNAs cope with the degeneracy of the genetic code in two manners: having more than one tRNA (with a specific anti-codon) for a particular amino acid; and 'wobble' base-pairing, i.e. permitting non-standard base-pairing at the 3rd anti-codon position. The record is from Rfam by way of RNAcentral. Lineage: Eukaryota; Metazoa; Chordata; Mammalia; Proboscidea; Elephantidae.